UACGCCAAGGCACACAGAACUCUGUUACCUUCCAACCCAAGUGGUACCUAUUUAUCUACUCGCAUUUACCUGCUUUCGAACUGCUAGGUGGGCAGGAGCUGAGGCAAGGAACAGGAACUCAUCCCACCUGGGUGCUGGGGUCUCGAACAGAGGCUGUAAGGAUACAUUAACAGAAUCUAUGAGCUGUGGUGGUGCAGUGGUUAGAGUGCAGUACUGCAAGCUACUCCU
Molecule: non-coding RNA, 228 nt
Organism: Notechis scutatus (mainland tiger snake)
Lineage: Eukaryota; Metazoa; Chordata; Lepidosauria; Squamata; Elapidae
Source: RefSeq, a predicted model, not a curated record